RNAcentral lists this long non-coding RNA (782 nucleotides) under Lactuca sativa (garden lettuce). RNAcentral describes it as "long non-coding RNA (LSAT_LNC002880)". The record is from RNAcentral. Lineage: Eukaryota; Viridiplantae; Streptophyta; Magnoliopsida; Asterales; Asteraceae.
AUAAUUUUUUGGUUGUGCGAACCAAAGGGAAUGAUGACCUUGGGUUGUACCAAGUCUGAAACCAAUUGGAUUUAUUUUUUGUCCCAUGUUCCCCCAUUACUAUACAUAUCAUAAUACGACAUAGUUGUAUGCUUUUUUUUCGAUUUAGGUUUUUGUGACCAUGUAAUAGAGUCCGUAUCUAUAUAUUUAGGGGUGUUUGUUUUGAUGGAUCGGUUUGAUCCUAUCCAAUCAAGUGAAUCCAAAUUGAUUUCGGUUUUCAAAACAUGGAUCUGAAUAGUCCAAACUAAAUACAAAUCCGAUCCGAUCCAAUCCAAUUACAAUUCGGUUGGAUCGGUUUUUAUAAUUCGGUUUUCAAAAACAGAAACAUUUUAAAACGAAAAAUAAUUAUAAUAUUAUCAACUUUACACAAGAAACAAAAACAAAUUAUUUACUUGUGAUUUGAAAUUUAUAAACAAUUACUACGAAGAUAUAUAUUAUAGUUAAAUAUUUUAUAAAUAGAAAAGUUUUGAGAGAAAAUGCAUAUUAAUGUUUUUUAACCGGAUGAAACGUUUUGAACCUAUUUCAAAAAAUAAAUUACAAAAUUAAUAAAUAACUAUAGAUAUAUAUGUUAUAAAUAAAUAAAUAAUAANUAGGUUUUUGUAUCGCAAAACUACGCCCUCGAGCGCGAGGUUUUAAUCUCUUCACAAUAGUACCUUCAUUGACUUCAGCUUUACUAAUGACUAAAUUUACUUCAUUCGAACCCAUAUUGAAACUAGCAUUUGCUGCUGCAGAAUAAACUAAUU